Molecule: long non-coding RNA, 199 nt
Organism: Acyrthosiphon pisum (pea aphid)
Lineage: Eukaryota; Metazoa; Arthropoda; Insecta; Hemiptera; Aphididae
Exons: 3
Source: RefSeq, a predicted model, not a curated record
AAAAUGCUGAGUAUUUUGAAGAAGAAAUACUGGAACACGUAAAAACAUAUGGUCCAAAGUUAAUCAGUACAAUUGAAAAUUGGAUUAAAAUGUCUGAAAAAGAAUUAACUGAAGAUGAAAAACUUGUUCCUGGAUAUCCAUUAUUGCCACUUUCCAAGGGUUUUUGCCCAUCAAUCAUCAAAGCACUAAGAGAUUACAC